Molecule: ribosomal RNA, 488 nt
Filed under: uncultured bacterium
Lineage: Bacteria
Description: bacterial SSU rRNA
Rfam family: Bacterial small subunit ribosomal RNA
Source: RNAcentral
AGAGUUUGAUCCUGGCUCAGGACGAACGCUGGCGGCGUGCCUAACACAUGCAAGUCGAGCGAGGUGUUUACACCUAGCGGCGGACGGGUGAGUAACACGUGGGUAACCUGCCUCAUAGAGGGGAAUAGCCUUCCGAAAGGGAGAUUAAUACCGCAUAAUAUACACUGAUAGCAUUAAUGGUGUAUCAAAGGAGAAAUCCGCUAUGAGAUGGGCCCGCGGCGCAUUAGCUAGUUGGAGGGGUAACGGCCCACCAAGGCGACGAUGCGUAGCCGACCUGAGAGGGUGAUCGGCCACAUUGGAACUGAGACACGGUCCAGACUCCUACGGGAGGCAGCAGUGGGGAAUAUUGCACAAUGGGGGAAACCCUGAUGCAGCAACGCCGCGUGAACGAAGACGGCCUUCGGGUUGUAAAGUUCUUUGAUUGGGGAAGAAAAUGACGGUACCCAAAAAACAAGCCACGGCUAACUACGUGCCAGCAGCCGCGGUAA